Molecule: non-coding RNA, 25 nt
Filed under: Cricetulus griseus (Chinese hamster)
Lineage: Eukaryota; Metazoa; Chordata; Mammalia; Rodentia; Cricetidae
Source: RNAcentral
CCAGGCUAGUGAAUCCGGGACAAGC